UACGUAGGGGGCAAGCGUUGUCCGGAAUCAUUGGGCGUAAAGCGCGUGUAGGCGGCCCGGUAAGUCCGCUGUGAAAGUCCAGGGCUCAACCCUGGGAUGCCGGUGGAUACUGUCGGGCUCGAGUCCGGAAGAGGAGUGUGGAAUUCCUGGUGUAGAGGUGAAAUUCGUAGAUAUCGGGAGGAACACCAGUGGCGAAGGCGGCGAUCUGGGUCGAUACUGACGCUGAGGUGCGAAAGCGUGGGGAGCAAACAGG
This 253-nucleotide ribosomal RNA is filed under the name uncultured bacterium. Its description in RNAcentral is "partial 16S ribosomal RNA". It matches the Rfam family "Bacterial small subunit ribosomal RNA", at positions 524 to 776 of the family's 1533-position model. The record is from RNAcentral.